UUGAUCCUGGCUCAGAUUGAACGCUGGCGGCAGGCUUAACACAUGCAAGUCGAGCGGAGAGAGGUAGCUUGCUACUGAUCUUAGCGGCGGACGGGUGAGUAAUACUUAGGAAUCUGGCUAUUAGUGGGGGACAACAUUUCGAAAGGGAUGCUAAUACCGCAUACGUCCUACGGGAGAAAGCAGGGGAUCUUCGGACCUUGCGCUAAUAGAUGAGCCUAAGUCGGAUUAGCUAGUUGGUGGGGUAAAGGCCUACCAAGGCGACGAUCUGUAGCGGGUCUGAGAGGAUGAUCCGCCACACUGGGACUGAGACACGGCCCAGACUCCUACGGGAGGCAGCAGUGGGGAAUAUUGGACAAUGGGGGGAACCCUGAUCCAGCCAUGCCGCGUGUGUGAAGAAGGCCUUAUGGUUGUAAAGCACUUUAAGCGAGGAGGAGGGUACUGGUAUUAAUACUACCAGGUACUGGACGUUACUCGCAGAAUAAGCACGGGCUAACUCUGUGCCAGCAGCCGCGGUAAUACAGAGGGUGCGAGCGUUAAUCGGAUUUACUGGGCGUAAAGCGUGCGUAGGCGGCUAAUUGAGUCGGAUGUGA
This 590-nucleotide ribosomal RNA is filed under the name uncultured bacterium. Its description in RNAcentral is "bacterial SSU rRNA". It matches the Rfam family "Bacterial small subunit ribosomal RNA", at positions 13 to 597 of the family's 1533-position model. The record is from RNAcentral.